Clupea harengus (Atlantic herring) is the source of this 379-nucleotide long non-coding RNA. The record is from Ensembl. Lineage: Eukaryota; Metazoa; Chordata; Actinopteri; Clupeiformes; Clupeidae.
ACCUGGGUCUUCACCUGGCUGAGGACUCUCUCUAAGUGUUUAAGGUCUCUCUCUCUCUCUCUCUCUCUAAGUGUUUAAGGUCUGACUCUCUUUCUCUCUCUAAGUGUUUAAGGUCUGACUCUCUCUCUCUCUCUCUCUCUCUCUAAGUGUUUAAGGUCUCUCUCUCUUUCUCUAAGUGUUUAAGGUGUGUCUCUCCCUCUCUCUCUAAGUGUUUAAGGUCUGAUUCUCUCUCUCUCUCUCUCUCUCUCUCUAAGUGUUUAAGGUCUCUCUCUCUCUCUCUCUCUCUCUAAGUGUUUAAGGUCUGUCUCUCUCUCUCUCUCUAAGUGUUUAAGGUCUGACUCUCUCUAAGUGUUUAAGGUAUCUCUCUCUCUCUCUCUCU